CCUACGGGUGGCAGCAGUGGGGAAUAUUGCACAAUGGGCGCAAGCCUGAUGCAGCCAUGCCGCGUGUGUGAAGAAGGCCUUCGGGUUGUAAAGCACUUUCAGCGGGGAGGAAGGCGUUAAGGUUAAUAACCUUGUCGAUUGACGUUACCCGCAGAAGAAGCACCGGCUAACUCCGUGCCAGCAGCCGCGGUAAUACGGAGGGUGCAAGCGUUAAUCGGAAUUACUGGGCGUAAAGCGCACGCAGGCGGUCUGUCAAGUCGGAUGUGAAAUCCCCGGGCUCAACCUGGGAACUGCAUUCGAAACUGGCAGGCUAGAGUCUUGUAGAGGGGGGUAGAAUUCCUGGUGUAGCGGUGAAAUGCGUAGAGAUCUGGAGGAAUACCGGUGGCGAAGGCGGCCCCCUGGACAAAGACUGACGCUCAGGUGCGAAAGCGUGGGGAGCAAACAGGAUUAGAUACCCGGGUAGUC
Molecule: ribosomal RNA, 465 nt
Filed under: uncultured Klebsiella sp.
Lineage: Bacteria; Pseudomonadati; Pseudomonadota; Gammaproteobacteria; Enterobacterales; Enterobacteriaceae
Description: bacterial SSU rRNA
Rfam family: Bacterial small subunit ribosomal RNA
Source: RNAcentral